RNAcentral lists this unclassified non-coding RNA (521 nucleotides) under Hevea brasiliensis (rubber tree). Lineage: Eukaryota; Viridiplantae; Streptophyta; Magnoliopsida; Malpighiales; Euphorbiaceae. The record is from RNAcentral.
GAACAUCUCAAUGACAUAAUGCUCCUGUCAAGAAACAAUAAAAUAAGUAUCUCAACAGCAAAAACACAAAUUACAAUUCACUUUUGAUCAUCCACCAAAGUAUAGAUAGAGAGUUCUGAAGUUACAGAAUGGUAAAAAAAGAAUUCCUGCAUUCCAUUGGGAUGAAACUGGGAUAAUGAAAAGAGGGGAAAUUCAAAAUUAGAAUUCCAUUUUAAAAAAUCAGGAGGGUAAUAGUGCAUAUAGGGACCCAAAGCAUUUCUUUUCCUGCCAUUUCCCUCACAUUUUUCUUAUAUAGUUUAUGUUGUUUCUCUUUCAAUCAAUAAGAAAAAGAACAAAAUGCAUUGAAUUCCAAGGACUCAUACUAACUAAUACAUUUGAGCUGACAGUUUAAAAAAUAACAGUACUUCAUAUUGUUUCCCAAUUCCAUCAGAGCUUCGCUACUCAAAACAAAUGAUACUCAAAACAAAUGAAAAAAAUAACUUACACCGUGAUAACCCCCUGCAUAAUUGGCAUGAAGACGA